UGCGAGUUAGCUUAGUGGUAGAGCGUUUCAGCAGGAGUUCGAUUCUCUUACUCGCAACCA
Molecule: transfer RNA, 60 nt
Filed under: Gallicola sp.
Lineage: Bacteria; Bacillati; Bacillota; Tissierellia; Tissierellales; Peptoniphilaceae
Description: tRNA-OTHER
Rfam family: tRNA
About the family: Transfer RNA (tRNA) molecules are approximately 80 nucleotides in length. Their secondary structure includes four short double-helical elements and three loops (D, anti-codon, and T loops).
Source: RNAcentral